AGAAGAGUUUCUUUCUAACUUGGAAGAAACAGAACACUAAGGGCCACAGUAUUCGAAUGAAGCAUCUACCUUUAUUGCAAAAAUGCACACUGAAACUACUGCCCUUGGCCUUCCAAGGAAUGCUCAAUUAUGGGGGAUUAUAGAUUGGAAGGAGGAGGAAGGGAGUCUCAAGUCAUUCCAUAGGGUCCGAAGUGUUCUCAAGGGACAGAGGUGGAAUUGGGGAGGUGGGAAGGCAGUUCUUCUAUCCUCUGAGAACAUCUCCCUUCCAGAUGUCCUCACCCAAGGACCUGUUACCUGAAGACAACUCCCCUCCAACAAAAGCCAGCUGUGUAGUAUUUAUUUCUCUACAGUGGUCCAAUCCCACUUCUGGCCUACCACAUGCAAUUUACUUGAUCUUUUGCAGAGGAUCAUAGCCCCUUUGAAUUGGCCAUAUGAGAAUUUCCUAGAUUGCUCAUGAGAAAUGCUGUCUUUGAUUCUUUUCUUAGGGAUGCUACAUCUGUUGCAGUGGGGGAAAAGAUACUUUUUCUGGUUGUAAACUAGUCCAGAGUGCUUCUGGCAAACAUACUCAAUUCCCCCUCCCUUUGCGUAUCCAAGAGAAAGGGUUCCAAUGUAUUUAUGACGCAUGUUCCUUGGGAAAGUCCAGUUCUCAAUUAUUCUAAGCUAGUGAGAAGGGAGGUUGGUUCCUGGGAUGCACUGCUUGUUCCUGUAAAAGAGGUACCAUCUGUGCUACCAUGCUGCACACAACGACCUCGCAACCUUGACUUGUCAGGCUUCCCCUGUGUUCUCAUGCAGCUUGUCAGAUGGCAGCAGAGAUAUUCCACUCAAAUUUUUCCACAAUCUUGACAAAUGAAUGAAAUAUGGAAGGACAACAGAUCUUUUUCAUCAGGCAACAUGGCUCUCCAGAUAAGUUCAUUGAUUUCCUUUGUCAAAUUCUUAAUCACAAAGUUUACUUGAAUAGCUUGUAUCUCUACUUCAUUUCAUUUGCCACGGAAACUGUCUUUUAUUUUACAUCACAGACAUUUCAGAAAAUAUUGCCCACUUUAUUCCCUCCUCAAGAUUAAACACUCUCUCAUAACAAAGAAAACAGGUAAGCAAAAGCUUCCAAGUGUAGAUACUAGAUCCGUUUACAACAGCCUACUACAGUAGUUCCCCCAAGGGGCAACUAGGUGGCAAAGUGAAUAGCAUGCCAGGCCACUUGCUAGCUGUGGGACCUGGAGUAAAUCACUCACCCAUAUUUGCCUCAGUUUCCUCAUCUGUAAAAUGAUCUGGAGAAGGAAAUAGCAAACCACUCCAGUAUCUUUGCCCAGGAAAACCCUAAGUAGGGUCAUGAAGAGUCUUCUCUGCUGUGAGAAAGGAGAUAUAUUUCAUUAUCUAUUCUCCAGAUAUUUAUUGGUUUUUCAUUUACUCAGCUCAUAAAAGACAUUAUCAUGAAUAUGACCAGAAAAUCAGGGGACCAGUCACAUAAUGAAAAUUAGAGUCCAGACCUCCAGGAAGGGAUACACGAUGGCACAAUCGAAUGUAAUGGACUUCUCUACUAGCAGCAAUGCAAUGAUCCUGGACAAUUCUGAGUGACUUAUGAGAAAGAAUGCUAUCCACAUCCAGAGAAAGAACUGUGGGAGUAGAAACACAGAAGAAAAAUAACUGCUUGGUCACAUAGUUCAAUGGGGAUAUGACUGGAGAUGUAGACUCUAAAUGAUCACCUUAGUGCAAAUAUUAAUAAUAUGGAAAUAGGUCUUGAUCAAGGACACAUGUAAAACCCAGUGGAAUUGCUCAUUGUCUACGGAAGGG
This 1788-nucleotide long non-coding RNA is filed under the name Monodelphis domestica (gray short-tailed opossum). RNAcentral describes it as "lncRNA (ENSMODG00000047145.1)". The record is from RNAcentral. Lineage: Eukaryota; Metazoa; Chordata; Mammalia; Didelphimorphia; Didelphidae.